CAGAAAUCAGGGCAGGAAACAUACUUUACAGAAGAUACUUCAAUUUGGGACCCUCCAAACCAGAAGUGCCAAUCAACCAACAGGCUUGAUCUUGGAUGAAGACAAAAUCCAGAAUAGAAGAUCCUGAUUGGAUUCCACUUUAUAUUGGAGAUACUUCAUUGUUGCAAAUAGUCCUAAAAUGCACAGAGCCACACAGGCAGAACGUAACCAACUUAGUCUCCCUGGAACUGGUGACUGCAAUCCUGUGGGGGGCCUUGCCCCCCCCCCGCUAGAACUCUUGAGUGUCUUUUACGGGCAUGUCUGGGCCUGCUGCAAGUCUACCCGGCAACAAGGAAAUAGCCCCAGUACCCUCGC
Molecule: long non-coding RNA, 354 nt
Filed under: Heterocephalus glaber (naked mole-rat)
Lineage: Eukaryota; Metazoa; Chordata; Mammalia; Rodentia; Bathyergidae
Description: lncRNA (ENSHGLG00000043393.1)
Source: RNAcentral